ACAGGACCCAGGGUCGGCACUACCUCCAGCCACAAACACAGCGUAUGAGGGGGAUUCAGCGGCCUCUGCCUACCUUCUUGCCCUUCUUGGUGGGCUUGGUGUUGAUCUUGGCCCUCUCCUGGAAGGUCUGCCUCAGGACGUGCCGGACCAGGGGCUCGCGGGCCAGCUGCAUGGCCACCAUGUAGCGCGUUCCGUCCAGCACCGCCUCAGCUGUACCGAACUGACUGGACCCCCCCCCCCACACAACCACGAGGAAAAGGCUCCUCUUCCUCUGCACCCGGUUCUUCUGUGAAGGCAAGACAAACCUGGAGUUGCAGAAAUAGAAGGUUCUCCUCGAUGAGGUCGAUGUCGUCAUCAUCCAGCCGGUCGUCGUAACCUAGCGAAGAGAGCCGUUGAACCCGGUUAACCCACCAGCGCUCACCUUA
Long non-coding RNA from Gadus morhua (Atlantic cod), 425 nucleotides. RefSeq lists it as uncharacterized. The record is from RefSeq and is a predicted model, not a curated record. The transcript is spliced from 3 exons. NCBI's taxonomy places the organism in Eukaryota, Metazoa, Chordata, Actinopteri, Gadiformes, Gadidae.